GGGGCGUUGGCGGAAUUGGUAUACGCGCUGGUUUUAGGUACCAGUGUCUUCGGACAUGAGAGUUCAAGUCUCUUGCGCCCUACCA
This 85-nucleotide transfer RNA is filed under the name Alphaproteobacteria bacterium. RNAcentral's name for it is "tRNA-Leu". It matches the Rfam family "tRNA". From Rfam's summary of the family: Transfer RNA (tRNA) molecules are approximately 80 nucleotides in length. Their secondary structure includes four short double-helical elements and three loops (D, anti-codon, and T loops). RNAcentral also lists the same sequence under 3 other names. Lineage: Bacteria; Pseudomonadati; Pseudomonadota; Alphaproteobacteria. The record is from RNAcentral.